AAGUCGUAACAAGGUUUCCGUAGGUGAACCUGCGGAAGGAUCAUUACGUUUAGUAGCCCAGCUACUAUCAGUGGGGUUCGUUAGUCUGCAUAGCUUAAUCGCUGAUGAGCAGCAAACCCCCUGUUUGUACCCUUGUUUUUUGCGCACCAAAAGUUUCCUCGGCGGGCUUGCUCGCCGGCUGGACAACACUAUAACCUUUUUACUAUUCAAUCAGCGUCUGAAAAACUUAAUAAUUACAACUUUCAACAACGGAUCUCUUGGUUCUG
RNAcentral lists this unclassified non-coding RNA (266 nucleotides) under fungal sp. RNAcentral's name for it is "partial internal transcribed spacer region". The stretch from base 1 to 46 matches the Rfam family "Eukaryotic small subunit ribosomal RNA", at positions 1786 to 1831 of the family's 1831-position model. The record is from RNAcentral. Lineage: Eukaryota; Fungi.